UGACUUUUAAUUGGUCCAGUGGCUUUUCAG
RNAcentral lists this non-coding RNA (30 nucleotides) under Mus musculus (house mouse). The record is from RNAcentral. Lineage: Eukaryota; Metazoa; Chordata; Mammalia; Rodentia; Muridae.